Molecule: long non-coding RNA, 1534 nt
Organism: Toxorhynchites rutilus septentrionalis
Lineage: Eukaryota; Metazoa; Arthropoda; Insecta; Diptera; Culicidae
Exons: 3
Source: RefSeq, a predicted model, not a curated record
AAUCUGUACGUGUGGCAACACUGUUCGCAAGAUAGUUGAGAGACUUGCAGUUCCAUGUUCCGAGUUUUCAAUCUCUAGUCCAUGUUCUUUGCCUUGCAUGGCCUGCACCAACCCUCAUGUUUCGCUGGAGAACCAUCGUACACAGGUUUUUAGAGUUCCUGCUAGCACGAAGACAGUGAUCAGUGAUCAUGGAGAACAGACGCUGUUUUGAGCCGCACCUCCGUGGUGAACAGACGCAUGUGGAGGAAACAUCGGAGCACGCCGUUUUUGAUACCGACCAGCGUGCAGAUAACGCCGGAUCGUGGCAAGUGAACAAUUGUGAGGGCUGUAGUAAUGGAUGGUACCAUACGAGAGUAGCUGUGACGGAGUACGCGUCAUGUUGGAGGGUACUACAGUACCCUCCAACUACAAUCUACUACUACAAUCGUUCGCUAGCUGGUCCUGAUUUAACUGGACUGCUAUUUAACUGGGUGAAUGUUAACUGGUUCUUGGACCAGUUAAAAAGCAGAAUUUCGUAAACAAUCGACGCCAUAUUUAAAUGGAAGAUUUUCUGUGAGGACCAUUCGAAUAAAAAAAAAAUUUCGAUUGGUGAGAAACUCUCCGGCUCUCCGCUGGGAGCAAAAAUUCUGUGAGGGCGACUGUGACGGGGGACGCGUCAUGGCAAUGGAGGGCAAUUCCUAAUCGGUACACGUCUCGACGGAUAAACGGAUAAUUGCGAGAUGAAAUGGAAGCGACGUGGAGAACAAAAUACCUGCCUGGCAACGGAAUAGAAAUCCCGCGAGGGUGGCUGUGACUGGUUACGCAUCAUGUCGGAGUGCAAUUUCCUAUCGGUGUACCGAUGAUACUUCGCUACUAAGCUUGUCAGAUUUAUUGUUUUCCAAGGAUAUAGACCAGCAGGAUGGUAGGAAUAGCCAUCCGCGGCCAUAUUCCGGCACUGAUAUUGUGUCCAGAGAAAUAAGUAGUCAUCUUCCUCUAGAGUGACUUUUGUUAUACCCUCCUGCGCCUGGUAAUACGCAGUACGCCAUAACACGACUUUUAAAAAAAUCCAACCAACAUAGGUGUCGGACAUCUCCACCUAUCGUAUGUGGUUGUUCCACCACGUUUUCUAGUCAAGCAUUAUCAUGCAGGCUGACGAGACUUUACUCUGUCAAGCCUCCACAACACACAAUCUGCAAAGAAGUUGUUCCGCCACGUAUUCCAAACAUAUACUAUCGUACCCCAUGCGCAGUACCCUCUCCGCUUGUGGGGACAGACAUGACACACGUUAAGCUAGUUAAUUUGGCUCUACUGGAAAAAUCAGAAUAAAAUUUUGAGUGAAAUUGGUGUUGAUGAAAAAAUUGCCUCAUUACAACAAAGAAAAACUCUCAAUAUGGUACCCUCUUCAAAUAAUCGAAGGGUAAUUGAGGGAGUCUAAUAUAAAAAAGUUAACCAAAUUUUUCUUUCAAGGUUGGAAAACUAUUUAGCAAAAUAACAUUCAUAUGGUCACGCUGCUACAACAUUUAUUCAAUAAAUUUUAAUAUCACUUAUAAAGAUG